This 253-nucleotide ribosomal RNA is filed under the name uncultured bacterium. RNAcentral's name for it is "partial 16S ribosomal RNA". It matches the Rfam family "Bacterial small subunit ribosomal RNA", at positions 524 to 776 of the family's 1533-position model. The record is from RNAcentral.
UACGAAGGGGGCUAGCGUUGUUCGGAUUUACUGGGCGUAAAGCGCACGUAGGCGGAUCUUUAAGUCAGAGGUGAAAUCCCAAGGCUCAACCUUGGAACUGCCUUUGAUACUGGGGAUCUUGAGUCCGGGAGAGGUGAGUGGAACUGCGAGUGUAGAGGUGAAAUUCGUAGAUAUUCGCAAGAACACCAGUGGCGAAGGCGGCUCAGUGGCCCGGUACUGACGCUGAGGUGCGAAAGCGUGGUGAGCAAACAGG